UACGAAGGGGGCUAGCGUUGCUCGGAAUUACUGGGCGUAAAGCGCACGUAGGCGGUCUUUUAAGUCGGUGGUGAAAUCCUGGAGCUCAACUCCAGAACUGCCUUCGAUACUGGAAGACUUGAGUCCGGGAGAGGUGAGUGGAACUGCGAGUGUAGAGGUGAAAUUCGUAGAUAUUCGGCGGAACACCAGUGGCGAAGGCGACUCACUGGCCCGAUACUGACGCUGAGGCGCGGAAGCGUGGGGAGCAAACAGG
Molecule: ribosomal RNA, 253 nt
Filed under: uncultured bacterium
Lineage: Bacteria
Description: partial 16S ribosomal RNA
Rfam family: Bacterial small subunit ribosomal RNA
Source: RNAcentral